UGACACUUAACAUGGAGACACUAGA
RNAcentral lists this non-coding RNA (25 nucleotides) under Mus musculus (house mouse). The record is from RNAcentral. Lineage: Eukaryota; Metazoa; Chordata; Mammalia; Rodentia; Muridae.